Molecule: ribosomal RNA, 252 nt
Filed under: uncultured bacterium
Lineage: Bacteria
Description: partial 16S ribosomal RNA
Rfam family: Bacterial small subunit ribosomal RNA
Source: RNAcentral
UACGUAUGUCGCAAGCGUUAUCCGGAUUUAUUGGGCGUAAAGCGCGUCUAGGUGGUUUAAUAAGUCUGAUGUGAAAAUGUGGAGCUCAACUCCGUAUUGCGUUGGAAACUGUCAAACUAGAGUAUCGGAGAGGUGGGCGGAACUACAAGUGUAGAGGUGAAAUUCGUAGAUACUUGUAGGAAUGCCGAUAGAGAAGUCAGCUCACUGGACGAAUACUGACACUGAAGCGCGAAAGCAUGGGGAGCGAACAGG